RNAcentral lists this transfer RNA (88 nucleotides) under Burkholderiaceae bacterium. RNAcentral's name for it is "tRNA-Leu". It matches the Rfam family "tRNA". Rfam says of the family: Transfer RNA (tRNA) molecules are approximately 80 nucleotides in length. Their secondary structure includes four short double-helical elements and three loops (D, anti-codon, and T loops). The record is from RNAcentral. Lineage: Bacteria; Pseudomonadati; Pseudomonadota; Betaproteobacteria; Burkholderiales; Burkholderiaceae.
CUCUCCGUGGCGGAAUCGGUAGACGCGCCAGACUCAAACCCUGGAGUUCGCGAGAACAUUGUCCGUUCGAAUCGGACUGGAGAGACCA